Molecule: ribosomal RNA, 496 nt
Filed under: uncultured bacterium
Lineage: Bacteria
Description: partial 16S ribosomal RNA
Rfam family: Bacterial small subunit ribosomal RNA
Source: RNAcentral
AUGAACGCUGGCGGCGUGCCUAAUACAUGCAAGUCGAGCGAACGGACGAGAAGCUUGCUUCUCUGAUGUUAGCGGCGGACGGGGGAGUAACACGUGGAUAACCUACCUAUAAGACUGGGAUAACUUAGGGAAACCGGAGCUAAUACCGGAUAAUAUUUUGAACCGCAUGGUUCAAAAGUGAAAGACGGUCUUGCUGUCACUUAUAGAUGGAUCCGCGCUGCAUUAGCUAGUUGGUAAGGUAACGGCUUACCAAGGCAACGAUGCAUAGCCGACCUGAGAGGGUGAUCGGCCACACUGGAACUGAGACACGGUCCAGACUCCUACGGGAGGCAGCAGUAGGGAAUCUUCCGCAAUGGGCGAAAGCCUGACGGAGCAACGCCGCGUGAGUGAUGAAGGUCUUCGGAUCGUAAAACUCUGUUAUUAGGGAAGAACAUAUGUGUAAGUAACUGUGCACAUCUUGACGGUACCUAAUCAGAAAGCCACGGCUAACUACGUG